AGGUAACCUACCCUUCGGACGGGCACAACCCCGGGAAACUGGGGCUAAUUCCCGAUAGGUACCCCCUUCUGGAAUGUGGGGAUAUCCAAAGCUCCGGCGCCGAAGGAUGGGCCUGCGGCCGAUUAGGUUGUUGGCGGGGUAACAGCCCACCAAGCCGACGAUCGGUACGGGCAGUGAGAGCUGUAGCCCGGAGAUGGGGACUGAGACAAGGCCCCAGGCCCUACGGGGCGCAGCAGGCGCGAAACCUUCACAAUGCACGAAAGUGUGAUGAGGGUACUCCGAGUGCGCAUACAUUGUAUGUGCUUUUCUGCAGCGUAAAUAGUUGCAGGAAUAAGGGCUGGGCAAGACCGGUGCCAGCCGCCGCGGUAACACCGGCAGCCCUAGUGGUGGCCGCUUUUAUUGGGCCUAAAGCGUCCGUAGCCGGACAGGCGAGUCUUUGGGUAAAUCCUACGUCUUAAGCGUGGGAAUUCUAAAGAUACUACCUGUCUUGAGGCCGGGAGAGGCUGGAGGUACUCCUGGGGUAGGGGUAAAAUCCUAUAAUCCUGGGGGGACCACCGAUGGCGAAGGCAUCCAGCUGGGACGGGCCUGACGGUGAGGGACGAAACCCAGGGGAGCGAGCCGGAUUAGAUACCCGGGUAGUCCUGGGCGUAAAUGAUGUGGGCUUGGUGUGAGCGCAUCGACGAGGUGCGCUUGUGCCGUAGGGAAGCCGUUAAGCCCACCGCCUGGGGAGUACGGUCGCAAGGCUGAAACUUAA
This 754-nucleotide ribosomal RNA is filed under the name uncultured euryarchaeote. RNAcentral describes it as "bacterial SSU rRNA". It matches the Rfam family "Archaeal small subunit ribosomal RNA", at positions 102 to 859 of the family's 1478-position model. The record is from RNAcentral. Lineage: Archaea; Methanobacteriati; Methanobacteriota.